GUAAACCCAGUUUAGCACACCAGACUAGCUUACCGCCAGAGAACUACAAGUAAAAAACUUAAAACUCAAAGGACUUGACGGUAUCCCACAUCACCCUAGAGGAGCCUGUCCUGUAAUCGAUAACCCACGUUAUACCCAACCUACCCUUGCACCAAACAGCCUAUAUACCGCCGUCUCCAGCCCACCUUGCAAAAGCCCCAUCAGUGAGCAAAAUCAACCAACUCUAAGCACGACAGGUCAAGGUGUAGCCAACGGGUAGGUAGAGAUGGGCUACAUUUUCUAACACCUAGAACACACCAAUAGCAAUAUGAAACCUAUGCCAACAGGCGGAUUUAGCAGUAAGAUCGGACAAGAUCUGCCCAUCUGAAGACUAG
Molecule: ribosomal RNA, 374 nt
Filed under: Hemidactylus brasilianus (Amaral's Brazilian gecko)
Lineage: Eukaryota; Metazoa; Chordata; Lepidosauria; Squamata; Gekkonidae
Description: partial 12S ribosomal RNA
Rfam family: Bacterial small subunit ribosomal RNA
Source: RNAcentral